GCGAGUUGGCGUGUGGCUUUCGAGCCUCCAAGAGAGGCUUGAGGAAACUCCGCCCACACGUAGAAUUGCAACGCCCGCAAGGGCGUAAGGCGAGAGCCUUGGCAACGGAGCAGAAACGAAACGUCCACCCAGCAAGUGCCUAUGAUGCAUGCUAAGUUGUUGAGAAUGCUGGGUGGAAACGGUGAAACGGCCGUCCUGCAAGUGGAAAGGGCAAAUAGACGCCUGUGAGGAGUCUACCCAGAGGCGUGGGUAGCCCGAUUAGUCGAAUGCCACAUGAACAGAAGGCGGGUUACAGCCAACACGC
This 304-nucleotide RNase P RNA is filed under the name Candidatus Bathyarchaeota archaeon. Its description in RNAcentral is "RNase P RNA component". It matches the Rfam family "Archaeal RNase P". From Rfam's summary of the family: Ribonuclease P (RNase P) is a ubiquitous endoribonuclease, found in archaea, bacteria and eukarya as well as chloroplasts and mitochondria. The record is from RNAcentral. Lineage: Archaea; Thermoproteati; Candidatus Bathyarchaeota.